RNAcentral lists this ribosomal RNA (2906 nucleotides) under Clostridioides difficile. RNAcentral's name for it is "23S ribosomal RNA". It matches the Rfam family "Bacterial large subunit ribosomal RNA". Lineage: Bacteria; Bacillati; Bacillota; Clostridia; Peptostreptococcales; Peptostreptococcaceae. The record is from RNAcentral.
UGGUCAAGUUAUUAAGGGUGCAGGGCGGAUGCCUUGGCACUAGGAGCCGAUGAAGGACGUGAUAAGCUGCGAUAAGCUUCGGGGAGUUGCACGUAAACUUUGAUCCGAAGAUUUCCGAAUGAGGAAACUCACUUAGAGUAAUGUCUAAGUAUCAUUAAGUGAAUACAUAGCUUAAUGAGGGGAACUCAGGGAACUGAAACAUCUAAGUACCUGAAGGAAGAGAAAGAAAUUCGAUUCCGUAAGUAGCGGCGAGCGAACGCGGAUUAGCCCAAACCAAUAAAGUUUUCUUUAUUGGGGUUGCGGACAUAUCAUAACGAAGAGGUAUCGUAAUUGAAGAGGUUUGGAAAGACCCACCACAGAAGGUAAUAGUCCUGUAUGUUAAACGAGAAGACUUUAGAUAUGAUCCAGAGUACCACGGGACACGUGAAACCCUGUGGGAAGCAGGAGGGACCACCCUCCAAGGCUAAAUACUACCUAGUGACCGAUAGCGUAUAGUACCGUGAGGGAAAGGUGAAAAGAACCCCGGGAGGGGAGUGAAAUAGAACCUGAAACCCUGCACUUACAAGCUGUGGAAGCACAUUUCUUGUGUGACCGCGUACUUUUUGUAGAACGGGCCAACGAGUUACGUUAAGUAGCAAGGUUAAGCACUUAAGGUGCGGAGCCGUAGCGAAAGCGAGUUUUAACUGAGCGUUCAGUUACUUGACGUAGACCCGAAACCGGGCGACCUACCCAUGAGCAGGAUGAAGCGAAAGUAAAAUUUCGUGGAGGUCCGAACCCACGAGCGUUGAAAAGCUCGGGGAUGACUUGUGGGUAGCGGUGAAAUUCCAAUCGAGCCCGGAGAUAGCUGGUUCUCCCCGAAAUAGCUUUAGGGCUAGCCUCAAGGUGAGAGAUACGGAGGUAGAGCACUGAAUGUCCUAGGGGGUAUUGCACCUACCGAAGACUAUCAAACUCCGAAUGCCGUCAUCUUAUACUUGGGAGUCAGACUGUGGGUGAUAAGAUUCAUAGUCGAAAGGGCAACAGCCCAGAUCGUCAGCUAAGGUCCCUAAAUGUAAGUUAAGUGGUAAAGGAUGUGGGAUUGCACAGACAACCAGGAUGUUGGCUUAGAAGCAGCCACUCAUUCAAAGAGUGCGUAAUAGCUCACUGGUCGAGUGAUCCUGCGCCGAAGAUUUCCGGGGCUAAAACUUACUACCGAAGCUACGGCAUCAGUAAUGAUGGGUAGGGGAGCUUCCCAUACGGGUUGAAGCAUGACCGUAAGGACAUGUGGACAGUAUGGGAGUGAGAAUGUUGGCAUGAGUAGCGAGAUGUGGGUGAGAAUCCCACAGGCCGUAAACCCAAGGUUUCCAGGGGAAGGUUCGUCCGCCCUGGGUUAGUCGGGACCUAAGCUGAGGCCGAAAGGCAUAGGUGAUGGACAACAGGUUGAUAUUCCUGUACUACCGAUAACCGUUUGAGAGAUGGGAUGACACAGUAGGAUAAGCUAAGCACACUGUUGGUUAUGUGUGCCCAAGCAUUGAGGCAGUCAAAGUAGGUAAAUCCGCUUUGAUAAUGCUGGGAUGUGAUGGGGAGCGAAAUUUAGUAGCGAAGUAGCUGAUUUCACACUGUCAAGAAAAGUCUCUAUCGAGGUUAAAGGUACCCGUACCGCAAACCGACACAGGUGGGUGAGGAGAGUAUCCUAAGGCCAGCGAGAGAACUGUUGUUAAGGAACUCGGCAAAAUGACCCCGUAACUUAGGGAUAAGGGGUGCCACCAUCAGGUGGCCGCAGAGAAUAGGCCCAAGCGACUGUUUACCAAAAACAUAGGUUUCUGCUAAGUCGCAAGACGAUGUAUAGGAGCUGACGCCUGCCCGGUGCUGGAAGGUUAAGGGGAUCUGUUAGAGCAAUCGAAGCAGUGAACUUAAGCCCCAGUAAACGGCGGCCGUAACUAUAACGGUCCUAAGGUAGCGAAAUUCCUUGUCGGGUAAGUUCCGACCCGCACGAAAGGCGUAACGAUUUGGGCACUGUCUCAACAACAGACUCGGUGAAAUUGUAAUUCCGGUGAAGAUGCCGGAUACCUGCGACAGGACGGAAAGACCCCAUGGAGCUUUACUGUAGCUUGACAUUGGGUCUUGGUACUACAUGUACAGGAUAGGUGGGAGGCUUUGAAACCAGGACGCCAGUUUUGGCGGAGCCAUCCUUGGGAUACCACCCUUGUAGUACUGGGACUCUAACCAUAGGCCAUGAAUCUGGUCUUGGGACACUGUCAGGUGGGCAGUUUGACUGGGGCGGUCGCCUCCCAAAAGGUAACGGAGGCGCUCAAAGGUUCUCUCAGUACGGUCGGAAAUCGUACGUAGAGUGUAAAGGCAAAAGAGAGCUUGAUUGCAAGACAUACAGGUCGAGCAAGGAUGAAAAUCGGACUUAGUGAUCCGGUGGUUCUGCGUGGAAGGGCCAUCGCUCAACGGAUAAAAGCUACCCUGGGGAUAACAGGCUUAUCUCCCCAAGAGUCCACAUCGACGGGGAGGUUUGGCACCUCGAUGUCGGCUCAUCACAUCCUGGGGCUGUAGUAGGUCCCAAGGGUUGGGCUGUUCGCCCAUUAAAGUGGUACGCGAGCUGGGUUCAGAACGUCGUGAGACAGUUCGGUCCCUAUCCGUCGCAGGCGUAGGAAAUUUGAGAAGACCUGUCCUUAGUACGAGAGGACCGGGAUGGACGUACCUCUGGUGUACCAGUUGUCCUGCCAAGGGCAUGGCUGGGUAGCUAUGUGCGGAAUGGAUAAGCGCUGAAAGCAUCUAAGCGCGAAGCCAACUUCAAGAUAAGAUUUCCCACCGCAAGGGUAAGACCCCAGAAAGACUAUCUGGUUGAUAGGUCGAAGGUGUAAGUGCAGCAAUGUAUUUAGCUUAUCGAUACUAAUAGGUCGAGGACUUGACCAAUAUUUAUU